This 871-nucleotide long non-coding RNA is filed under the name Serinus canaria (Common canary). RNAcentral's name for it is "lncRNA (ENSSCAG00000007392.1)". Lineage: Eukaryota; Metazoa; Chordata; Aves; Passeriformes; Fringillidae. The record is from RNAcentral.
CACCGCUCUGCCCGUCCCGCCCGAUCGCUCCGCGCGGCUCACGCUGCUCCCGAGGGAUCGCAGCUGGCAGGGAUCUUAUCCAGUGGGAGCCAACCCUACCGGCGGCGAGGGUUGGCUCCCACUGAGCAGAGAAAGGUCUGCCACUCGCUCUCUCUCUGUCCGACUGACCGUCUGUCCUUCCGUUCCGGGGAGAGUGCACUACUCUACCUCCGCAGGCUGGUUUCUUCGAACUUUCUUUUGUUUUUACUUGGUGAAGUUCUCUGGCUGUGGCGGCGUGGACAUGGGGUCCCGGUGACAGGUAGGAAGCAGGUGGGGUCUCCAUCAUCCUGCACGAAAGUCUGCUCUGGAUGGUGCUGCGUCCUGGCAAACCACAGCAAAGAGAGUUUUCCUGCUCUGGGAGGAGCAAAGAAGCAACGUGCAGCUUGUGUCUGGGGGGAAGCUGUCCUCUCAGGACGAGAGUGUUUCGUCAUCCGUCAGGGACUGCGCCUGGAAACUCUGCCUCAAAGCCGCUUUGCAUGUGGUGACCAAAGUCCUUCCUUCUCGCUAGCAUCUACCCUUAACACACAGACGCAGAGGCUUGUGUGCUGUCGACACAUAAAAACACCUAAUCCAUGCGGUGGGGUAUGACACUUACAUGAGGGUUUCAAGUUUGCUCCUACACACAGUUGAAUCUCAGCUCCUGGUGGAUCCCAGGUCACAGGUCCAUGAUCGCUGUAGGGUGAACUACUCCUUAAGAAAAUUCCCAAUCCCUUGGUCUUUACCGAGUGUAGUUGGUCAUAUAGGCGUUUAAAAAAAAAAAGCGGGGGGGGGGGGGAGAAAAUUCAUCCUGUUGUUUCUACAGAUUCAUCCUGUUGUUUCUAUAUUUCUUUGG